GGAGCAAUACUCAAGAGGCCGAAGAGGUGUCCCUGCUAAGGACAUAGACUGGGGCGACCUGGUGCGAGAGUUCAAAUCUCUCUUGCUCCGCCA
This 93-nucleotide transfer RNA is filed under the name Firmicutes bacterium CAG:449. Its description in RNAcentral is "transfer RNA-Ser(GCT)". It matches the Rfam family "tRNA". Rfam says of the family: Transfer RNA (tRNA) molecules are approximately 80 nucleotides in length. The record is from RNAcentral. Lineage: Bacteria; Bacillati; Bacillota.